This 64-nucleotide transfer RNA is filed under the name Chrysopa pallens. RNAcentral's name for it is "tRNA-Ile". The record is from RNAcentral. Lineage: Eukaryota; Metazoa; Arthropoda; Insecta; Neuroptera; Chrysopidae.
AAUGAAGUGCCUGAAAAAAGGAUUACUUUGAUAGAGUAAAUCAUGUAUAUUUAUACCUUCAUUA